GUGGGGAAUUUUGGACAAUGGGCGCAAGCCUGAUCCAGCCAUGCCGCGUGCAGGAUGAAGGCCUUCGGGUUGUAAACUGCUUUUGUACGGAACGAAAAGACUCCUUCUAAUACAGGGGGCUGAUGACGGUACCGUAAGAAUAAGCACCGGCUAACUACGUGCCAGCAGCCGCGGUAAUACGUAGGGUGCAAGCGUUAAUCGGAAUUACUGGGCGUAAAGCGGGCGCAGGCGGGGAUGUAAGACAGAUGUGAAAUCCCCGGGCUCGACCUGGGAACUGCAUUUGUGACUGCAUGGCUGGAGUGCGGCAGAGGGGGAUGGAAUUCCGCGUGUAGCAGUGAAAUGCGUAGAUAUGCGGAGGAACACCGAUGGCGAAGGCAAUCCCCUGGGCCUGCACUGACGCUCAUGCACGAAAGCGUGGGGAGCAAACAGGAUUAGAAACCCCAGUAGUCC
RNAcentral lists this ribosomal RNA (450 nucleotides) under uncultured bacterium. Its description in RNAcentral is "bacterial SSU rRNA". It matches the Rfam family "Bacterial small subunit ribosomal RNA", at positions 354 to 796 of the family's 1533-position model. The record is from RNAcentral.